RNAcentral lists this non-coding RNA (27 nucleotides) under Macaca fascicularis (crab-eating macaque). The record is from RNAcentral. Lineage: Eukaryota; Metazoa; Chordata; Mammalia; Primates; Cercopithecidae. RNAcentral also lists the same sequence under 1 other name.
UGCCUGUCGCUUGUCUUCUAUUCACCA